GGUUCCGUAGGUGAACCUGCGGAAGGAUCAUUACCGAGUGAGGGCCCUCUGGGUCCAACCUCCCACCCGUGUCUAUCGUACCUUGUUGCUUCGGCGGGCCCGCCGUUUCGACGGCCGCCGGGGAGGCCCUGCGCCCCCGGGCCCGCGCCCGCCGAAGACCCCAACAUGAACGCUGUUCUGAAAGUAUGCAGUCUGAGUUGAUUAUCGUAAUCAGUUAAAACUUUCAACAACGGAUCUCUUGGUUCCGGCAUCGAUGAAGAACGCAGCGAAAUGCGAUAAGUAAUGUGAAUUGCAGAAUUCAGUGAAUCAUCGAGUCUUUGAACGCACAUUGCGCCCCCUGGUAUUCCGGGGGGCAUGCCUGUCCGAGCGUCAUUGCUGCCCUCAAGCACGGCUUGUGUGUUGGGCCCCCGUCCCCCUCUCCCGGGGGACGGGCCCGAAAGGCAGCGGCGGCACCGCGUCCGGUCCUCGAGCGUAUGGGGCUUUGUCACCUGCUCUGUAGGCCCGGCCGGCGCCAGCCGACACCCAACUUUAUUUUUCUAAGGUUGACCUCGGAUCAGGUAGGGAUACCCGCUGAACUUAAGCAUAUCA
Molecule: unclassified non-coding RNA, 588 nt
Filed under: Aspergillus fumigatus
Lineage: Eukaryota; Fungi; Ascomycota; Eurotiomycetes; Eurotiales; Aspergillaceae
Description: sequence contains 18S rRNA gene, ITS1, 5.8S rRNA gene, ITS2
Rfam family: 5.8S ribosomal RNA (bases 219-372)
Source: RNAcentral